UCCCUGGUGGUCCAGCGGUUAAGAAGCUGCUUUGCACUGCAGGGGACACAGGUUCAAUCCCUGAUCAGGGAA
RNAcentral lists this transfer RNA (72 nucleotides) under Ovis aries (sheep). It matches the Rfam family "tRNA". Rfam says of the family: Transfer RNA (tRNA) molecules are approximately 80 nucleotides in length. Their secondary structure includes four short double-helical elements and three loops (D, anti-codon, and T loops). The record is from Rfam by way of RNAcentral. Lineage: Eukaryota; Metazoa; Chordata; Mammalia; Artiodactyla; Bovidae.